GACGAACGCUGGCGGCGUGCUUAACACAUGCAAGUCGAACGGAAAGGCCCUGCUUUUGUGGGGUGCUAGAGUGGCGAACGGGUGAGUAACACGUGAGUAACCUGCCCUUGACUUUGGGAUAACUUCAGGAAACUGGGGCUAAUACCGGAUAGGAGCUCCUGCUGCAUGGUGGGGGUUGGAAAGUUUCGGCGGUUGGGGAUGGACUCGCGGCUUAUCAGCUUGUUGGUGGGGUAGUGGCUUACCAAGGCUUUGACGGGUAGCCGGCCUGAGAGGGUGACCGGCCACAUUGGGACUGAGAUACGGCCCAGACUCCUACGGGAGGCAGCAGUGGGGAAUAUUGCACAAUGGGCGGAAGCCUGAUGCAGCAACGCCGCGUGCGGGAUGAAGGCCUUCGGGUUGUAAACCGCUUUCGCCUGUGACGAAGCGUGAGUGACGGUAAUGGGUAAAGAAGCACCGGCUAACUACGUG
This 468-nucleotide ribosomal RNA is filed under the name uncultured bacterium. RNAcentral's name for it is "partial 16S ribosomal RNA". It matches the Rfam family "Bacterial small subunit ribosomal RNA", at positions 28 to 507 of the family's 1533-position model. The record is from RNAcentral.